UCAUGCUUAUUUUUCAACAAUUUAUAUUUUCUACUAAUUAUUUUGCAUUCAUCAAAUAAGUCAAUGAAGGCAUUUAAUAAUUCAUCAAAUGAUAAAUCUACAUCAAUUAAAUUUGUUACCUCUUCUCCGAUGGCCAUUAAGGCAUAAUAAGCAACUUGCUCGGUGUUGGACUCCUCUUCUUCGGACGUGCUCGAGUCAUCCCACAUCGCUUUGAGCGCCUUCUUCUUUGAUGUUCUCUUCUUGGCUUGGGGACAAUCACUUUUGUAGUGUCCCGACUUUUUGCAUUCGUAGCAAAUAACUUGGUCCUUUUUGGGUUCAAGUUUAUUUUUUGUCACUUUUAAACUUGUUUCUCUUAAUGAAUAUUUUGAAUUUCCUUGUUAGAAGUGCCAAG
RNAcentral lists this long non-coding RNA (391 nucleotides) under Musa acuminata (dwarf banana). RNAcentral describes it as "long non-coding RNA (MACU_LNC000520)". The record is from RNAcentral. Lineage: Eukaryota; Viridiplantae; Streptophyta; Magnoliopsida; Zingiberales; Musaceae.